Molecule: long non-coding RNA, 3723 nt
Organism: Triticum dicoccoides
Lineage: Eukaryota; Viridiplantae; Streptophyta; Magnoliopsida; Poales; Poaceae
Exons: 2
Source: RefSeq, a predicted model, not a curated record
CGUCAUGCAGUAGUGACCAUGAGGGGAAUUGGGCACUGCAACGAUUCAGUGCGAGAUCGGGGACGGCAACGUCCUUCUCCGGCGUCCAUCUCCAUCGCCGGUGGUGUUCUCUCUGAAAGAGGAAGAAGUCCAAGAAAGGAGAUGAAUGAAAAGAGGGAGCUUGCAUACUGAAGGGGGUGAUGGAGUAGACCUUCGCUCAGAUGUGAGAUCAAUUCGAGGAGGGGAUGAUCAUGCAGGAGGAGAAGAAGAGGGCGAGCUCAACGCUGCGGAGGAACAACACUAGAGUAUCUUCCAAGAUUCAGCCCUGUUUCUUGACAUUUUUUUUCUAUUUCGGAUGAAUUGUUCCUUAUUUCUUCUUUGGAGCUCCAUUGCUACAAAAAAAGGAGCAAUGCCCAGCCGUUUUCACUUGGUGGAGUUGGGAUGCUGCUACUGUAUUAGGAUGGUCAUCCCAUCAUUGUGAAUCUGCCCUGUUGCAGAAUAAGGCGCAGAAGGAAACCAGAAAGGGCAAAGCACAAGAAAGUGUGAAAAUAACAAGCCACACACUGUGAGCAACUAAGAAUCACUCCCAAAAAGAAGCACAAAUCAUUGAAGCCCAAGUAAUUGUGAUCUUAAUGCACAAUGUCAUUGACUUCCUGAUAGGGAGUAUAACGUUUUGUUAGAUUUCAAGUCCAUCAAACCACUGUCAUCAGGGCCGAUCAUACCUCUAAAUAGAAAGAAAUGUAAACCUUUGGAUUCAAUGAUCUUGCUAAAGGAUACAAAUGUGUCUUUUCUUAAAUGUAAGGUAUUUGAUGGCUCCAUUUGGUAAAAAAUUUCUUCCCCUGUUUCAUUACAUAAUUUGUAGAGAAAUCAUGGUGCUUAGCAUACUUCUCUUGCCUUCAAAGUUCAAUUUCUAAGACAAUGGAGAUGUCGUGCCUUGUUUUAUUAGGAAUGAUGCAUCCAGAAAAACGUUCUCAUAUUAUGGAACAGAGGGAAUAUUUGUGAUAUAUCCCUGUAGGCAACAGAUAAUGUUAGUUUCCAGUAGUGCCAAUUGGCUCCUAUCUGAACUUUAUUUUUGAGAUGCACUUCCAUGUCUGUGAGACCAAUUCCCUCUGUUCCAUAACAGACCUAUCUUUCACCAUAUUUGCUAUUAACUGUAGUUUUUCUACAUUCAGGGGAACAAUGUAUGCAAAGAGUGUGACAUCAUACACCUUCAGGUGAUGCCUGUAAGUUACCUGAAUAGUUUAGGACUUCCAUCAUUUUACUUUGACAAUAAUACUUCCUGAGUUCACAAAUUAUAUAAUAUGAAAACUUGCAACAUCCAAUGCUUUUAGUUGAACGCACAUUCCAUCAUAUAUUUCUAAGCUAACAUGUUAUCAUUUUUAUGGCAGGCGCACUGACCUAGAAUAGCGUAAGAAUGACCACUCAACUAGCUAGUGUUUGAAACUUCAAUUCCAUGUAGAGAUACCCAACCCAGCAAUUUGAAGUCUCUUUUUUCUAUACAAAUAAGUCUCCCUGGCUCCAUUUUAUUAAAAAUCAAAGCACAUCGAUUCUUAUUUCUUACAAUAUGUGCAGAGUACAGCAGUGUACUACGUUAGUAAAAAGAGGUAAACCUCGCCUGGAGUCCAAAACUACAAGAUGUCUGAUGACGAAAAGAUACACGCUCCUCGCACCAUAGCAGAUAGAUGAAUAUUAGCACACUGGUAUUGCCUCAUUUAGUCAGGCUGAUUUAUCAAAAGCGAAUGAUAUUGGAUUCUGUACCCCAUCAAUUAUGGAGUUAUGGUAUCAGUUUUUGUUCUAACUUCUCAUGAAUACACAUCAAUUAUGAAUUGAUUUUAUUAGCAAAUGGAUACUAGCCAGCAAUUUUAUUUCAGUUAUGAAGAUGAUGUUAUUAUUUUCUAAUGCAUGCUACCUGCUGAUCAGGUGGGUCCACCUCCAGUCACACAAGUAUUAUUUCUAAUGGUCGAAGAACUACAUCUUCAGUUUAAGCAGUAAGAGCCGUAUUCAGGUUAUAUACAUGAUCAGAGACAAUUUUAUUCAUGAUAUAGCCUGAUUUCAGACCGCGGUUCUUAAAUAUGGUUUGGCAAGAUUUAGGAAACAGAGUUUGGCCUUUUAUAUUUUUCAUUCAUACCAUGCAUCCGGCGUGUUAUGGGUUCAUGUGAUUCCGAUGAAUUUGGUACAUCCGAAAUCCAUCUGUGGUGUCUUUGAUUUCAACAUUGUUUCCAGUUUUAGGUUUGCGAAGCCUAUUAACCGUUCAAGUGUUAUAUGCAGGGCCGGGCCCAUAGUUGUACAGAAUGUGCGGCCCGCACAGGGCCCAUAAAUUCUAGGGGCCCCAAAUUUUUACAUAGGCUAUGUAUAGCUGCUCCUAGCCCUAAAAAUGUAUAGACGUUCCUGGGCGUUGGGCCAUGCACAGGCCGCUGCUCGAUCGGAAACAGGAUCGUGGGAUCUAUCGCAAAAGCCACUCGCGGUGCUACAGCCUACAGGAAUCCUGCCGCUGGCGACGGGCGACACAGCGAGUAGGCAACAGUUCCUCUCCUCUGGUCAAAACAAAAUCAAUCUCAUCCAGACUCCAGAGCGCCGGCGCAGUUCCUCUGGCUAUGCAAAUUCAGUUUAUGUGCUACAUGAAUCUUGUUGAUGACGUAUGAGCAGCUCAGUGAUUCAGUAUUGAUGAUUGUUGUCCAAAAUUCAUUUGUCUUGCUAUGCAAAUUCAGUUUACGUGAUGUCCAAAUGUCAGUGUUUUGUUGUCCAAAAAUUUAGUGUUGGUGUUAUCCGAAUUUCAGUUUAUAUGAUGUCUAAAUUUUAGUUUAUAUGCUGUCCAAAUUUUCAGUGUACUUCCCCUGCUAUUUUACUGCCAUUUAACAAAUGAUUUGCUGCCUUUUAUCAAGUGCUUCAAUGCACCAAGGUUGGCUUUAACCCUCUGUUCUCUUAUGUUUUCCUAGGCACCAAUGAGCUGGCCUUGUUGCAAGGAUGAAUCUGCUGAUCUCGUAAUCAAUGGAACAAAAGGUACUGAGUAUUUACUAUUUGUACUGAAAUACUACUAUUUUUUGUGAAUUACUGAAAUACUACUAUAUAUGAUUUGGGAAAAAUAAUCUGGUCUCUCAUUUAGCUUAGUCCACCUAUUUUUUUUCUUCGUAGCUCCAUCAUCAAAAGAUAAACCCCAUUUUAAAGUUUGGCACAGGGCCCCAAAUAUUACCGGCCCGGCCUUGGUUAUAUGUGCUUGUGUGUUGGUACACUUGUGAGAAAAUAUUCUGUUUGUCAGGUAUCUGUUCAAGCGGAUGAUGGUUUAUGUACGAGGGAUAGACAUUAACGUCUCCGUAUCUAUGGUGGGUACUAGUAAUGUUGAAUUGAAAUUUCAGGCUUUCUUUUUCUAGUAACCAGAAGCAAAAUUUAGGUUUUGGUGAGAAGAAAAGUGAACCUAAAGGGUGCAGUACUAUUAAUAGGAUACUAUAUGUUGGUUACAGCUCAUGGAUAGUAAUGUUUCAGUCGCUGGAGAGCUUGCUGAACAGAUGAAGUUGACGUAAAAUCUCUGGUCACCUGCAAAUUUAGCUCCUUGAAGAUCAAGUUCAGCAAUAGUCAGUUUCAAGUUUGGUAGUAUUCAGUUUUGUAAUACAGUAGUGAUUUCUGAAUUUUUCAUGCUGCUGGUUACUUAGGGCUAAGUAGCACUCAAUUGUGUCCAAACGAUUUUUAUUUGUAAUUGUGAGGAUGGUUUUUAUUAUGUGAGAUAAUUAGCAGAACCACAACACAGAA